AGUCGAGGGGCAUCAUGGCGGUCGCUUGCGACCGCUGAUGGCGACCGGCGCACGGGUGCGUAACGCGUAUCGAACCUGCCGCAUACCCGGGGAUAGCCUUGCGAAAGCAAGAUUAAUACCCGAUGUUCUCACUGUUCCGCAUGUUACGGUGAGCAAAGAAUUUCGGUAUGCGAUGGCGAUGCGUCCCAUUAGCUAGUUGGCGGGGUAACGGCCCACCAAGGCUCCGAUGGGUAGGGGUUCUGAGAGGAAGGCCCCCCACACUGGUACUGAGACACGGACCAGACUCCUACGGGAGGCAGCAGUGAGGAAUAUUGGUCAAUGGCCGGAAGGCUGAACCAGCCAAGUCGCGUGAGGGAAUAAGGCCCUACGGGUCGUAAACCUCUUUUGCCAGGGAGCAAUGCCGUCCACGUGUGGACGGAAGGAGAGUACCUGGAGAAAAAGCAUCGGCUAACUCCGUGCCAGCAGCCGCGGUAAUACGGAGGAUGCGAGCGUUAUCCGGAUUUAUUGGGUUUAAAGGGUGCGUAGGCGGCCUGCCAAGUCAGCGGUAAAAUUGCGGGGCUCAACCCCGUACAGCCGUUGAAACUGCCGGGCUCGAGUGGGCGAGAAGUAUGCGGAAUGCGUGGUGUAGCGGUGAAAUGCAUAGAUAUCACGCAGAACCCCGAUUGCGAAGGCAGCAUACCGGCGCCCGACUGACGCUGAGGCACGAAAGUGCGGGGAUCAAACAGGAUUAGAUACCCUGGUAGUCCGCACAGUAAACGAUGAAUGCUAGCUGUCC
RNAcentral lists this ribosomal RNA (775 nucleotides) under uncultured bacterium. RNAcentral's name for it is "bacterial SSU rRNA". It matches the Rfam family "Bacterial small subunit ribosomal RNA", at positions 60 to 825 of the family's 1533-position model. The record is from RNAcentral.